AUUUUCACAAACCAUUGCUUCUAACAUUCAUUAUUUACAGAGAUGUCACACUUUAAGGUAUGAAUAUAUAUGCCUUACAGGGUGAUCUUCUGCAACUAAACUCAGAUGAAGAAACAUCAUAUUUAAACCAAUCAAACAGCCAUGAAAAAUGUCAAACAAUUACAACAUUGUAAAUAAGGCAGAAACUUCAAAGAGCUGUUUUAAAAUCCAAAAUAGGUAUAAAAAUUAGAUCUUUGAGGCAAAACUGAUGCCCUCCUGUGCCAAUUGAUCCAAGGUAGCAGGGGGUUGAACCUUUGCAACCUUAGCAAUUGCCUUGUUCUCUUCAGGUGACCCACUCUCGAGGAAUGCACCAACGAUCUUUCCAUCUUUGAUCCAGUAUUGUCCAAACUUGUGAGUUGCAGAGUUGGGAUCAGCGUCCCCAAAGAGCACUGUUUCACCCACAUUAUCACCGUAGAAUUGCCAAGACAAAUCGAAGGCACGGGAAUAGAAGUAUGGAAGGUAGUCAUAUUCAUCGACAGACUUCCCUUGCUCACUGGCAAAUAUUGCCUUGACAGCCUGCUCAGCAGAUUUGCGAGAAUGAUCAACAUGUUCAACUCUUCUAAUCUCAUUGUACAUUUUCAAAGGAAAAGUGGCAACAUCACCCACAGCAUAUACAUCAGGUACACUUGUUUUGAAGAACGCAUCUGUCUUAAUUCCACCCUUCUCCUCUUCAACUUGCCCUUUGAAUAGAGUUGUGAGUGGUCUUGCUCCGACUCCUACGACUACUAUGUCAGCUUCCAAAACUCUGCCAUCUUUGAGUUUGACUUCCUUCACCUCUCCAUUUGGAUGGGUAUCAAACCCAACAGCAACUGUACCCUUGAUAAUAUUGACUCCCUUGUUUUUAUAAUAACCUUCAUAGAAUGCAGCUAUGCCCUCUGUGAAAAGCCGAGGCAUGCACCAUGGUUCUGGGUAAACCAUAUUGACUUCAAUGUUGUUCAGUCUCAGUACAGCACUGAGCUCGAGACCGAUGUACCCUCCCCCAACAACAACAGCUUUACCAUUUUUCUUAGCUUUUAAUGCUUCCACAAGUUGAUCAGCAUCAUCGAUUUCUCUCAAGUAAAAGAUAUUCUUGGAAUCAGCACCUUGUACACCAAAAUCUGACAACUUCAAAACGGUGGAUCCUGUUGCAAUAACAAGUGUUUGAUAUUUAAAAGAUUCCCCAGCUGCACUAACAAGAGUCUUUGAAGCAAGAUCUGCUUUCACUAUUUCAGUACUCAGGAUCAACGAAAUGCCUUUCUCUGCAUACCACUCAGGAAGCUGUCUCUCUCCUCCACUUCCAACACACACAUGAAAUCCUGGGAGUCUAGCAGCUCCUUCAGGAAAAAGGUAUGCCUUGCUAAGUGCAGGACGUUCAUAAGGAGCCACUGCCUCUUUGGAAAUAAUAGCCAGUUCCCCAGGCUUAACUCCCUGUUUGGCAAAUUCUCUAGCAGCAUACCCAGCAGAAACACCGCCACCGACGAUCACAUACUUGAAUGAUUUCUCCGCCAUUGAUGAACUUUCACAGUGAAAAUAGUUAGAGCUUUUUUGGU
RNAcentral lists this unclassified non-coding RNA (1568 nucleotides) under Hevea brasiliensis (rubber tree). Lineage: Eukaryota; Viridiplantae; Streptophyta; Magnoliopsida; Malpighiales; Euphorbiaceae. The record is from RNAcentral.